Molecule: long non-coding RNA, 274 nt
Filed under: Bos taurus (domestic cattle)
Lineage: Eukaryota; Metazoa; Chordata; Mammalia; Artiodactyla; Bovidae
Description: long non-coding RNA NONBTAT022887
Source: RNAcentral
CGCUCUACCAGGCUGAGACACCCCCCCACCCCCAUCCAGAUGAGUCAAAGUGCCUGUGUAACUUCAAAGGGUCUCUGAAGUCACCCCAGACCCACCCAGCUUGGGCUGGACACACAAGUUGCUGAAUAAAUGGAUGCAUUUAAUGAAUCGACCAAUGGCUACUGGGUGACCUGCUAUUAUUAAUGAUGAUAUUAUAAAAGGAACCAAGCAUUUUCCCAUAACCUCAGCGGUUUCUCCUUAUGGCACCUAUUUUCCACAUCUCUACCAGUAACAU